RNAcentral lists this long non-coding RNA (376 nucleotides) under Hordeum vulgare. RNAcentral's name for it is "long non-coding RNA (HVUL_LNC016296)". The record is from RNAcentral. Lineage: Eukaryota; Viridiplantae; Streptophyta; Magnoliopsida; Poales; Poaceae.
CUCUUGAUCGAUCACGGAAGGACGAGGUGCUAUGGUCGACAUUCUUCUGAGUACAUCAUUAUUCUGUCUCUAUCAUGAAAUUGAUUAAGCUUCCAUAUCAAAUUGCCUUAAAACAGAUAUAUUUCCAUCAUUAGAUUGCUUUGAAACUGAUACAUCUUAACUUCCAUCAGCAGUUGAUAUUAUGUCUAGGGGAAAAGGGCAGUUGUCUGAAGAUUACAGUUUCAGAAUGCUGCUCUUUCUAUUAGUACAAAAGAGUGUCCAAAAAAAAAAGUUCAGAAAAGCGGGUCAGCCACUAGCCCCUCGGUACACAAUCCAGAUCAUAAAUAAGUAUUGUGCUCACAAUUUGACAAGCAUCAAUGAUAAGCUCUUACAUUGG